GCCGGAGGGAAACCGAGUCUUAAUUGGGCGUUAAGUUGCAGGGUAUAGACCCGAAACCCGGUGAUCUAGCCAUGGGCAGGUUGAAGGUUGGGUAACACUAACUGGAGGACCGAACCGACUAAUGUUGAAAAAUUAGCGGAUGACCUGUGGCUGGGGGUGAAAGGCCAAUCAAACCGGGAGAUAGCUGGUUCUCCCCGAAAGCUAUUUAGGUAGCGCCUCGUGAAUUCAUCUCCGGGGGUAGAGCACUGUUUCGGCUAGGGGGCCAUCCCGGCUUACCAACCCGAUGCAAACUGCGAAUACCGGAGAAUGUUAUCACGGGAGACACACGGCGGGUGCUAACGUCCGUCGUGAAGAGGGAAACAACCCAGACCGCCAGCUAAGGUCCCAAAGUCAUGGUUAAGUGGGAAACGAUGUGGGAAGGCCCAGACAGCCAGGAUGUUGGCUUAGAAGCAGCCAUCAUUUAAAGAAAGCGUAAUAGCUCACUGGUCGAGUCGGCCUGCGCGGAAGAUGUAACGGGGCUAAACCAUGCACCGAAGCUGCGGCAGCGACGCUUAUGCGUUGUUGGGUAGGGGAGCGUUCUGUAAGCCUGCGAAGGUGGCCUGUGAGGGUUGCUGGAGGUAUCAGAAGUGCGAAUGCUGACAUAAGUAACGAUAAAGCGGGUGAAAAGCCCGCUCGCCGGAAGACCAAGGGUUCCUGUCCAACGUUAAUCGGGGCAGGGUGAGUCGACCCCUAAGGCGAGGCCGAAAGGCGUAGUCGAUGGGAAACGGGUUAAUAUUCCCGUACUUGGUGUUACUGCGAAGGGGGGACGGAGAAGGCUAUGUUGGCCGGGCGACGGUUGUCCCGGUUUAAGCGUGUAGGUGUGUGUUCCAGGUAAAUCCGGUUCACUUUAACACUGAGGCGUGACGACGAGGCACUACGGUGCUGAAGCAACAAAUGCCCUGCUUCCAGGAAAAGCCUCUAAGCAUCAGGUAACAUCAAAUCGUACCCCAAACCGACACAGGUGGUCAGGUAGAGAAUACCAAGGCGCUUGAGAGAACUCGGGUGAAGGAACUAGGCAAAAUGGUGCCGUAACUUCGGGAGAAGGCACGCUGACACGUAGGUGAAGUGAUUUACUCAUGGAGCUGAAGUCAGUCGAAGAUACCAGCUGGCUGCAACUGUUUAUUAAAAACACAGCACUGUGCAAACACGAAAGUGGACGUAUACGGUGUGACGCCUGCCCGGUGCCGGAAGGUUAAUUGAUGGGGUCAGCGCAAGCGAAGCUCCUGAUCGAAGCCCCGGUAAACGGCGGCCGUAACUAUAACGGUCCUAAGGUAGCGAAAUUCCUUGUCGGGUAAGUUCCGACCUGCACGAAUGGCGUAAUGAUGGCCAGGCUGUCUCCACCCGAGACUCAGUGAAAUUGAACUCGCUGUGAAGAUGCAGUGUACCCGCGGCAAGACGGAAAGACCCCGUGAACCUUUACUAUAGCUUGACACUGAACAUUGAGCCUUGAUGUGUAGGAUAGGUGGGAGGCUUUGAAGUGUGGACGCCAGUCUGCAUGGAGCCGACCUUGAAAUACCACCCUUUAAUGUUUGAUGUUCUAACGUGGACCCGUUACCCGGGUUGCGGACAGUGUCUGGUGGGUAGUUUGACUGGGGCGGUCUCCUCCUAAAGAGUAACGGAGGAGCACGAAGGUUGGCUAAUCCUGGUCGGACAUCAGGAGGUUAGUGCAAUGGCAUAAGCCAGCUUGACUGCGAGCGUGACGGCGCGAGCAGGUGCGAAAGCAGGUCAUAGUGAUCCGGUGGUUCUGAAUGGAAGGGCCAUCGCUCAACGGAUAAAAGGUACUCCGGGGAUAACAGGCUGAUACCGCCCAAGAGUUCAUAUCGACGGCGGUGUUUGGCACCUCGAUGUCGGCUCAUCACAUCCUGGGGCUGAAGUAGGUCCCAAGGGUAUGGCUGUUCGCCAUUUAAAGUGGUACGCGAGCUGGGUUUAGAACGUCGUGAGACAGUUCGGUCCCUAUCUGCCGUGGGCGCUGGAGAACUGAGGGGGGCUGCUCCUAGUACGAGAGGACCGGAGUGGACGCAUCACUGGUGUUCGGGUUGUCAUGCCAAUGGCACUGCCCGGUAGCUAAAUGCGGAAGAGAUAAGUGCUGAAAGCAUCUAAGCACGAAACUUGCCCCGAGAUGAGUUCUCCCUGAGACUUAGAGUCUCCUGAAGGAACGUUGAAGACGACGACGUUG
RNAcentral lists this ribosomal RNA (2215 nucleotides) under Salmonella enterica subsp. enterica serovar Enteritidis. RNAcentral's name for it is "partial 23S ribosomal RNA". It matches the Rfam family "Bacterial large subunit ribosomal RNA", at positions 665 to 2855 of the family's 2925-position model. The record is from RNAcentral. Lineage: Bacteria; Pseudomonadati; Pseudomonadota; Gammaproteobacteria; Enterobacterales; Enterobacteriaceae.